CCACAUAAUGAUAUUUUCUACCAAGGUACGGUAUUGGUAAACUAUGCUUUCCACCAGUCCUGAUUGGAGCCCCUUACAAGGAUGCCCUUGCAAGGGCCAAUCUCCCAGUCAGGUAUAACUCCGUGGAUAGCUCACAACCCUUCCUCAUGCGCAAGUGGUUCUCCACCAAGCCUAUCCUAGAUGUUGUCCAUUGUCUGGUAGAGCUCCGGCCAAAAUGCCAAGAGCCUCUCCUCCUUCAUAGACCACCAAAGACCACUCCACAAAUGUAGUUGGAGUGAUAUGGCAAUACUUACAAGUCCCAAAAUGUACAUCCUUGGUACAUGCAAUAGCUUAUAGGCCAAAACCUAAAAAAAAAUUGCUAUUAUGACCUAAUCUAGUCUACGCACCAAUCCUAAAGCUUUUGAUAAUUGCCUACUCUUGUCUUAAGCACAUGUAGUGGUUAGAUAACUAAGAGAUGAGCCUCAACUCAACUACAAUUUCAACCAACUUCAACACACUCUAAUUGGCUGGGUAUGAGGGUAUGUAUAGCCCCAAAUUAAUAAACUAGCCGUUGCACACUCUGCAUUUGCAAUGAGCACCAGAUAGCUUUAGUGACCACAUGAGAAAAAUUGGGUGCCCCUGCCAUGUCAAACUUGCCAUUGCUAACUAUUGCUAUUUGAGUUUUCCAUGACCGACCUCAACAACCUUCACCACUUCCUCGAUCAACAUCUCUUUAAUGUGCUCCUCUGUUGGGUUGGUUCUAUCUCAACAACAAUAUGCCAUUGAUUUACUACAACAGGCAAUCAUGGUUGAGUGUCACUCUACAACAACACUUGUGGAUGCUCAUGCCAAGUUGUCUAUGGGGUGUGCUCUUGGUCUCCUACCCUUGCCGGCGAACAAUGAGGAGGAGGUUGAUGGUGUCCCACAGGAGAAAAAGAACAAGGGUUGUCAAAUAAGGGAACAAGGGUGAGUAGCGAUAAAUUUAGGAGUAAAUGGCCAUUAAUUCAUUCCUCUCUAUAGUGUCACCCAUCGGGUAUUUGUAGGACAUACAUGGGGUAGGUGAAAUUACAUCAUUCUCCCUCUAGGGUGAGCAUCCUUUUUACAAAGACAUGGGGGCUUGGUGGACAUUUCCUGUGUUCCCCUCACCUACUAUUUUGACGCUAUUGAGGGUUUUGUUCUUGGGGACCACCGUCUCCCGUCCUCGGUCUCAUGGUCACGAGGUUAGGCACACCACAACAUUCCUUCCUUUGAGUGGCCUAUGGGGCGAUGCUUCAUCUGUAGAGACAGAUCAAAACCGUGCCUAUCUUCGCUUGUGGAGUUAGCGAGGCAUCCUCCGAUCAAGUAGCAGGCAGGCGAGCGCCCCACCGGUGCGGUUCCUAGCCACAUCACAAUCGAGAAAAAGGGUUAGCUGAGGGCUUAGC
Molecule: long non-coding RNA, 1400 nt
Filed under: Sorghum bicolor (sorghum)
Lineage: Eukaryota; Viridiplantae; Streptophyta; Magnoliopsida; Poales; Poaceae
Description: long non-coding RNA (SBIC_LNC015380)
Source: RNAcentral